Molecule: long non-coding RNA, 774 nt
Organism: Astatotilapia calliptera (eastern happy)
Lineage: Eukaryota; Metazoa; Chordata; Actinopteri; Cichliformes; Cichlidae
Source: Ensembl
UUACUUUUCUCGAAAUUUCGACUUAUUAACUCAAAACUUUACAUUUUUUUGUGUGGUGGAAACGGGCUUCCAUAUUUGUUUGUCUUGUGUAAAUCACUUUGUAAAAAUGCUUUGUAAAUCAUCUGUUUUCUACUUGAGCGCCCUCGUGUGGCAGUUUGUGGUAACAACAGAUUCCAGAUUUCCUGAGCACACGUUCCGUGAAGACACUUCCUUCAUGGACGACAGCCAUGUGAUGCAGUGUGCGGCAUAUGGUCUGAGCGCUGACAGGCUGACCCUCCACACCUUCAACCUCGGCAGUAAUGCUGGCAGCACUCAUACACCUAUCUUACAAAAGACAACCUCUGGGUAUGACACUGAGCAUGUGCACUCAACUUCUUUGGUCGACCAUGAUGAGGUUUAUCUUCAUAAAAGAAGUCUGGGGUGUCGACCAGUCUAACUUUUGUUCCACAUAUCUCGAUUAUUUUGUCCUUACACUUGGUGGUGAUUGGUAUGGAGCUUGGCUUGGCUUCAAAACCCUGGCCUUUGUCCUUGUGGUGCUUCCCAGCAGCCAGGAUGGUGUUUGCAGUCGCACUCUUCCCAGUCCCAGUUUGUCCCAGCAGAAUGAUGUUAAAUAUGAUGUCUUCCUUUGCAUCACUGCCCCUCUCAACUGAAAGUCCUUUUCCUCUUGGCCGGUCAGUCUGCUCUGAGAUGGAUGUACUGUGAUUCCUGGCUCCUGAUUGAUUGGUAUUUUAUCAUGAAAGCAAGUUUAUCUUGUCUAAACAUAUCACAUAUGAU